ACAACAGGUUGCGCCCUUGAUAACAGAGAUGAAUGCCACCAGAGACCCAUUUGGAUAGUCUUUGAGGCAAUAUUGCAGAACCUUUGGCUCUUACCACAAACAAAAGGAAGAGCUUAGGGGAUUUCCUAAAGUCCUUAGUCCUGUCCAAGUAGAAUGCUAGUGCUCUUGUAACAUCUAGUAUAUGCAGAAUCGCUUCCCUGUUGUCACAAUGUGAUUUGAGAAAAACAGGGAGAUGGAUCUGUUGUUUCAUAUGGAAAGUGGAGACAACUUUAUAGAAACUUGAGAUGUGGCUUUAGUUACUUUAUCUUUAAAAAAGAUCUUGAAUGGUGCAUGUGUCAUCAGAGCUGCUAUUUCUCCUAUGCACCUAGCUGAGGCCAUAGCAAUUAGAAAUGCUGUCUUCAUGGACAGGUGUAAGAAUGAGUCCAUGGCGACUUGCUCUAAGGGAGAUCUAGUCAGAGGUCUGAGAACUAGGUUAAGAUCCCAGGUUGGAGCAAGUGGUCUCGCAUGCAGGAAGAUAUUCCCAAUGUCCUUAAGGAAUCUAUAUAUCAGCAGGUAUGAACACAGAGUAUCUGUCUACUUGAUGAUGGCAGGCCAUUAUGGCUGUGAGGUGUACCUUAAGGGAGCUGAGCGAAAGUUUUGACCUUUUGAAGUCUAAAAUGUAAUAUAAAAAUCAGAGGGAGGACGAGGCCAGGUCUAUGUGCUUAGAAUGACACCAAAUUUUGAAUCAUUUCCAUUUUUGGAGGUAAGUAUGUCAAGUGGUUGACUUUCGGCCGUGUAGCAACACAUCUUUCACCUCAUCAGAGCAUUCGAUCUCUAAGUCUUGGAACCAAGAAAGAGCCAAGCAUGGAGAUGGUGGAUCCGCCUGAUGCUUUGAGAGAAAAGGUGAGGAAUGAGCUGAAGAGGAACCAUAGGACAUACUGCCAUCUGUGCCAGGUACAAGAUUUAACUCAGGUGAACAGUUUUUGGAAUUUUGCUGGCACUUGGUAAGAGGCUGGAAGUUAGUUACCUCCUUUUGUAGAUGGAGUUUGAAGAAACUGUUUGGUUUUGAAGGCAGCACGAGGCAAUUUUUUCUGCCUUUGCAUAGCUGUUGAAAGAUAAGAAGUGUUAUAUUUGUCUAGAAAGACAACAACUCAAUUCACUUGGGAUAUAGAACCACAUCUGCUUGUGAAGCAUCAGGGAACAAGCAGCUAGCAAAAAUUUUACACUCUAAAAAUCUACACAUUAAACCUUUAAUGCUUAGACAAAAAUGGUCAUCACAUUAUCCUAGAAGCAUCCAAUUAUGAAUGAAUAUUUGAAGAUUAAAAAGAUACAGAGGAAAAUUCAGCACUAAUGCUGCAUUUCAACAAUUACAAGCAAUCUCACACACAAUUAAGGGAAAAAGAAGGGAAAACUCUUCAAUUUCAAGUUUCUGUGGAAACUUCAAGAGGACUCAGCAUGGAUGUUAGAUGUCCUGGACAAGUUUGGAAGACUACGCCUUAGUUUUUCUGUA
This is a long non-coding RNA of Dermochelys coriacea (leatherback sea turtle), 1489 nucleotides long. RefSeq lists it as uncharacterized. The record is from RefSeq and is a predicted model, not a curated record. The transcript is spliced from 5 exons. Lineage: Eukaryota; Metazoa; Chordata; Testudines; Dermochelyidae.